CCUACGGGGCGCAGCAGCGAGGAAUAUUGGUCAAUGGGCGGAAGCCUGAACCAGCCAAGUCGCGUGAGGGAAUAAGGCCCUACGGGUCGUAAACCUCUUUUGCCGGGGAGCAAGGGCGGGGACGUGUCCCGGCCCGGAGAGUACCCGGAGAAAAAGCAUCGGCUAACUCCGUGCCAGCAGCCGCGGUAAUACGGAGGAUGCGAGCGUUAUCCGGAAUUACUGGGUGUAAAGGGAGCGUAGACGGUGAAGUAAGUCUGGAGUGAAAGGCGGGGGCCCAAACCCCGGACUGCUCUGGAAACUAUUUG
RNAcentral lists this ribosomal RNA (305 nucleotides) under uncultured bacterium. Its description in RNAcentral is "bacterial SSU rRNA". It matches the Rfam family "Bacterial small subunit ribosomal RNA", at positions 338 to 639 of the family's 1533-position model. The record is from RNAcentral.